AGGAACGUCAUGGAGGACAGUGAUCAAUCCAUUUAAGAUCGAUAUACGGUUCACCUCCCUUGUAGGUAGAUGAGUCUUGGAUCUACAGCGUAAAAAUAUUGGGGUAAAGGUGCAGGUAGUUGUUAGAGAACAACUUGCACUGAGCGUGACCAACACAAGAACUACAUGGAUGUCUACUCACUCGUCAGUGAUCUUCUCGAUGCUACAGUGGUGUGAGUGGUCCUUUAACCUGCGGUGUCAUUAGCUAUUCACAAUGAGGCUACUAAGUUUGACUGCACAUUCCUUUGGUCCCUAGCCAUUCGGAUCUUUGCUGUGUAUGUUAGCUUUAAUAUGUUCAGAUUCGCUGUUUGGAGUAGGAUGCAUCUAGAUAAAAUCGAUCGAUCUUGGUAGAAAAAGAGAAAUCCUAUGCGAUUUAUGAGACUAAGUUCAAAAAGUCUUUGGCCAAAGCAAGUGUGAAUACUGGAAAAAAAUUUCUACAAAAUUCACAAAUAAACUUGAGUCCAGCCAAUCUAGCAUAUGACUGAUGAUGGAGUCUGACGAUUCUACUUUCAUUCUACUGAGUUGCCACUACAUACUGCUAGGUGUCACUGGUGGAUUGUGAGACUUAUUGGGCGUCAUCUUGAUGAUCGAUGGUCCUCGAAAAGUAGAAUCGAAAAUGUUUCAAUCUAUCAAAAAGAGUUUC
RNAcentral lists this long non-coding RNA (682 nucleotides) under Elaeis guineensis (African oil palm). Its description in RNAcentral is "long non-coding RNA (EGUI_LNC077756)". Lineage: Eukaryota; Viridiplantae; Streptophyta; Magnoliopsida; Arecales; Arecaceae. The record is from RNAcentral.